This 781-nucleotide long non-coding RNA is filed under the name Pomacea canaliculata. RNAcentral describes it as "uncharacterized LOC112553901, transcript variant X3". Lineage: Eukaryota; Metazoa; Mollusca; Gastropoda; Architaenioglossa; Ampullariidae. The record is from RNAcentral.
ACCGUCUGUAUGUCUGUGUAUAAGGCUUUCAUGCUUGUCAAUGCAUGCAAAUUUGUCUGUUAAUCUUUAAUUUUGUUUUUGUAUUUUAUGAUUUUUCUCAUAUAUUUUUGCAUUUAGAAAUGGCAGUGGCCCUGGCAUCCUUGGACAUCACAAGGAAAGGAUAGCAUCUCUUGGCAGUGCGUUGUCGGAUGGGGAAUGAAGGAGAGAAAUGGCAGUGGCCAUUGCAUCCUUGGACAUCACAAGGAAAGGAUAGCAUCCCUUGGCAGUGCGUUGUCGGAGGGGGAAUGAAGGAGAGAAAUGACAGUGGUCAUUGCAUCCUUGGACAUGACAAGGAAAGGGCAGCAACUCUUGGCAGUGCGUUGUCUGAGCGUUAAUGAAAGAGAGAAAUGGCAGUGGCCCUGGCAUCCUUGGACAUCACAAGGAAAGGAUAGCAUCUCUUGGCAGUGCGUUGUCGGAUGGGGAAUGAAUUAGAGAAAUGGCAGUGGCCCUGGUAUCCUUGGACAUCACAAGGAAAGGGCAGCAACUCUUGGCAGUGCGUUGUCUGAGCGGGAAUGAAAGAGAGAAAUGACAGUGGUCAUUGCAUCCUUGGACAUGACAAGGAAAGGGCAGCAACUCUUGGCAGUGCGUUGUCUGAGCGUUAAUGAAAGAGAGAAAUGGCAGUGGCCCUGGCAUCCUUGGACAUCACAAGGAAAGGAUAGCAUUUCUUGGCAGUGCGUUGUCGGAUGGGGAAUGAAGGAGAGAAAUGGCAGUGGCCCUGGCAUCCUUGGACAUGACAAAGGAA